CACGUAGGGUGCGAGCGUUGUCCGGAAUUAUUGGGCGUAAAGAGCUCGUAGGUGGUCUGUUGCGUCGGCUGUGAAAUCCCGAGGCUCAACCUCGGGCCUGCAGCCGAUACGGGCAGACUAGAGUUCGGCAGGGGAGACUGGAAUUCCUGGUGUAGCGGUGAAAUGCGCAGAUAUCAGGAGGAACACCGGUGGCGAAGGCGGGUCUCUGGGCCGAUACUGACACUGAGGAGCGAAAGCGUGGGGAGCGAACAGG
This 253-nucleotide ribosomal RNA is filed under the name uncultured bacterium. RNAcentral's name for it is "partial 16S ribosomal RNA". It matches the Rfam family "Bacterial small subunit ribosomal RNA", at positions 524 to 776 of the family's 1533-position model. The record is from RNAcentral.